Long non-coding RNA from Oncorhynchus nerka (sockeye salmon), 341 nucleotides. RefSeq lists it as uncharacterized. NCBI's taxonomy places the organism in Eukaryota, Metazoa, Chordata, Actinopteri, Salmoniformes, Salmonidae. The transcript has 3 exons. The record is from RefSeq and is a predicted model, not a curated record.
CAUGAGGUGGGGAGAGAGCCUGCACCAGACUCAGCCCCAAAGAGCGAGAGGAGUGAUCUGAGAGAAAGUCACCGCUGUUUUUGUUUAGCCUCUCUGGUGCAGCUGAGAGCGAGAGUCGCUCACACUGUCAGAGCACCGCUGCCUAAGCUUGAGUGGAAAGUUUCCACAGCAUGACCAGAGUCAGGACUCAACUACUCCUGUCCCACUGAGAGUAAGCCAUACCGAAGAAGAGACAGAGAGAGCUCCUGAGCAGACUUUGACCCCUGACCUCCAGGUGUGGUGGUGUACCAUGUGUUCUCCCGCUUGGGGGGCGUGAACCCAUCUCUGCUGUGAGGAGUCGU